Long non-coding RNA from Saccostrea cuccullata (small rock oyster), 2427 nucleotides. RefSeq lists it as uncharacterized. The transcript has 2 exons. The record is from RefSeq and is a predicted model, not a curated record. Lineage: Eukaryota; Metazoa; Mollusca; Bivalvia; Ostreida; Ostreidae.
CAUGUGAUAAAGAUUCUGGCUAAUGCCGCAAUAUGUCAUGUCACAUGUUACACAAAAAUAUGACAUUAUAUUAGUGCUUAUUUAAUUUCAACGUAAACCUCGACAUGUCUCUGCACAUUAUGUUACAUGAAUUAAUAAUUUGCUGUCAAUGUCAGCACUGGUCAAAAUUUUGGGAAUCGCCAAUGGAUUCCAUUAUAUUAUGUGAAGGCUCUAAUUUGUUUUUCUUAAUCUUCCCAAUAUCCAAUGAAGGUUGGGACGAUUUGUUUAUUUAUUAAAAAAUGGUUGCCUAUCAAUGUUUUUUGUAUGUGAAGGCUCCAGCUGUUUUUGUCAGUGUCAGUACUGGUCAAUUUGGGAAUCGUCAAUUGAUUCCAAUUGAUGUUGGGAAUCGUCAAUUGAUUCCAAUAUGAUUAUGGGAAUCGUCAAUUGAUUCCAUCAUAUUAUGUGUAGGCUACCGUUUGUUUUUCUUAAUCGCCCAAUAUCUGAUGAAGGUUGGGACGAUCUGUUUCUUUAUUUCAAAAAAGGAUUUUGUUUUUCUUAAUCUUCCCAAUAUGUAAUGAAGGUUGGGAGGAUCUGUUUAUUCAUUUAUAAGUGGUUUGCCUAUCAAUGUCUUUUUGCAUGUGACUAUGUGAAGGCUCCAGUUUGUUUUUCUUAAUCUUCCAUGUAUCUAAUGAAGGUUGGAAGAUCUUUUUAUUUAUUUGUAAAAAGAAUGGGUUGCCUAUCACUUUUAUGUCACAAUUGUUGAAUUUUAUGAUGACCAUGAUGAACUGACCUAUUUUAAGCUGAGCCGACACUUGUAUAUGAUAAUAGAUUGGCAACAUGCAUUGUGAAGAGUUCAAUAACAAAUGAUAAAGAUGAAAAAUAAUAAAAUGCCACCAAAAAGAUGAAAAUGUGAUGGGUCCGAAGCCUCCCAAAAAGAUGAAGUUACGCAGUCAACCGGCUCAAUUGCUCUCUGCGGAUUCAGUUUGGGCAAUUCGGAUUCCAAUUGAUCAUCGACUCAAGUGGCUGCUCCAAAAAAUCAGCUGGCAGCAGCAAAUCUUAGACAACAGCAACAGCCUUGACUCCCAGCAAUGCUUCUACAAACAAGAUCACUUCAAAGGAUGCACUACUGCACCGCAGACUUCUAUUACAUCUUCUACUGAUUUGAAUAGUUCCUAUUUGAAUGUACUGCCAUUGACUAUUGAAAGAGAGGAGUCAGCAUAUGGUUGUUUUUCUUCAGAAUUUAAAUAGGAUCUGAUAAACUUUUUACAUCCAUUUCAGUGAUUAAACGUAUAAAUCAAUUGCAAACUAAAUGUUUCCCCUUAUACAUGUACUGCCAUUGACUAUCGAAAGAGAGAAGUCAGCAUAUGGUUGUUUUGGUUUUUUUCCAGAAUUUAAUUAGAAUCUGAUAAACUUUUUACAUCCAUUUCAGUAAUUAAACGUAUAAAUCAGGUCUAUUAGGCCAGCUAAUGGUUGCUGUGAUAAAUUGUAAAAUUUUAAAGCAUCCUAUCAAAAUGAAACAACAAAUUUAAACCUUCCGAGGUCAGCAUUUAGCUGCUUAAAUAAAAUAGUACUUUGGUCAGUGAUCUUGCAAAGUGUUCAUUUUGAAAAUUAAGUGCUAGAUAGAUGCACAUUUUACUCUUCAUAUUGGCCUUAAAUUUGCGAGCUAAUAUACUUGAGGACAGCACCCAGUUGCUCAUAAAAUUUAUGUAUUGUAGUUGGAAUUCAGCUUUAAGUUUGGUCUUGAGAAUUGUGUAUCAGGUCAGCAUAUGUCUGUUUACAAAAUUGUAUCAUGUCAUGAGCUUAGAAGUUCAAAAAUUUGUGUAUCAGGUCAGCGAACAGCUGCUUAUAAAAAUUGUAUGUUAGUUGGAGCUCAGCAGGAUUUUGUUCUGAAUUUUGUGCAUGAGUUCAGCAUAUGGAUGUUCAUAAAAUAUAUAUUGUAAAAAUGAGCUCAUGUUGUUUAUGAGGUAGCAUAUGGUCUCUUUUUUAGUCUCGUUAACCUUAUGUUAUUCACAGGUUUAGUAACCUUUGUCCUUUAUAUUUUGUAACUUAUUCAGAUAUAACUUUGUGCUUAUGUGGGUUUUUAAUGUUUAUUCAUGUACACAAUGUUAUUAUCUGUUAAAGAACACAUGUUUGCUACAAUUAAUAUUGAGCAGCAUAUAAUUUAUGAAAUGCCUUUCCUUGGGUGGCGCUGCAUGCUUCAUGCAAGCAUUUUGCAUGCUGUGUGGCCUCUUUGUUUACGCCACCUUCUUGUUACACAAACUUGGUAAUCAUUAUAUAACAAUAGCUGGGAUAAGCACUAAGUCGCAAUAUAUCAUAUCUAAGUUGAAACUAAUCAUUAUUUGGCCUUAUCCCAGCUAUAAUUUACAUGAUUGUAUGUAAUAUUGUAUAUUUAUGUGUUUUUGUUCACUUUCGUCAUUUAUCUGGUCAAUAAAUGACAUUUUCACUCAA